RNAcentral lists this ribosomal RNA (1956 nucleotides) under human gut metagenome. Its description in RNAcentral is "bacterial LSU rRNA". It matches the Rfam family "Bacterial large subunit ribosomal RNA", at positions 3 to 1980 of the family's 2925-position model. The record is from RNAcentral.
UCAAGCUACAAAGGGCGCAUGGUGAAUGCCUUGGCAUCAGGAGCCGAUGAAGGACGUGAUAAGCUGCGAUAAGCUUCGGGUAGGCGCACAUAGCCAGUGAUCCGGAGAUUUCCGAAUGUGGGAACACACAUGGGAAACCCCAUGUAUCGUAUAGUGAAUACAUAGCUAUACGAGGGUAAACCUAGGGAACUGAAACAUCUAAGUACCUAGAGGAAGAGAAAGAAAAAUCGAUUUCCUAAGUAGCGGCGAGCGAAAGGGAAAGAGCCCAAACCAAAGAUUUAUCUUUGGGGUUGCGGACAGAGCAUUAACGAGAAGUCGUAACUAACCGAACAUAACUGGAAAGUUAGACCGUAGGAGGUAAUAGUCCUGUAGGUGAAAGUUAAGAUAAUCAAGCUCUGAUCCAGAGUACCACGAGACACGUGAAACCUUGUGGGAAGCAGGGAGGACCACCUCCCAAGGCUAAAUACUACCUGAUGACCGAUAGUGAAGCAGUACCGUGAGGGAAAGGUGAAAAGAACCCCGGGAGGGGAGUGAAAUAGAACCUGAAACCGUGUGCCUACAACCGGUCAAAGCCCCAUAUGAGGGUGAUGACGUGCUUUUUGUAGAACGAGCCAACGAGUUACGGUAUGUAGCAAGGUUAAGUACUUAAGGUACGGAGCCGAAGGGAAACCGAGUCUUAAUAGGGCGACUAGUUGCAUGCCGUAGACCCGAAACCGGGUGACCUAUCCAUGGCCAGGUUGAAGCGAGGGUAAAACUUCGUGGAGGACCGAACCACGUUGCUGUUGAAAAAGCAUGGGAUGAGCUGUGGAUAGCGGAGAAAUUCCAAUCGAACUCGGAGAUAGCUGGUUCUCCCCGAAAUAGCUUUAGGGCUAGCGUCGGAUAUGUGUAGUGGAGGUAGAGCACUGAAUGGGCUAGGGGGCAUAUCGCUUACCGAACCUUAUCAAACUCCGAAUGCCAUAUACAUUAAGUCCGGCAGUCAGACUACGAAUGAUAAGAUCCGUGGUCAAAAGGGAAACAGCCCAGAUCGUCAGCUAAGGUCCCAAAGUGUAAGUUAAGUGGAAAAGGAUGUGGGAUUUCUAAGACAACUAGGAUGUUGGCUUAGAAGCAGCCACUCAUUUAAAGAGUGCGUAAUAGCUCACUAGUCGAGAGAUCCUGCGCCGAAAAUGUCCGGGGCUCAAACUUACCACCGAAGCUACGGGCUUGCGUAAGCAAGCGGUAGGGGAGCGUCGUAAUCGGGCUGAAGUCGUACCGUAAGGAGCGGUGGACUGAUUACGAGUGAGAAUGUUGGCAUUAGUAGCGAGAUGUAGGUGAGAAUCCUACAGGCCGAAUAUCUAAGGUUUCCUCAGGAAGGCUCGUCCGCUGAGGGUUAGUCGGGACCUAAGCCGAGGCCGAAAGGCGUAGGCGAUGGACAAUCGGUUGAUAUUCCGAUACCACUACCAUCGUUAUUAUCGAGGGUGUGACGGAGAAGGAUAGUGUGUGCUAGCGAUUGGAAAUGCUAGUCUAAGCGUUUAGGGAGUUACGGUAGGCAAAUCCGCUGUAACAAUUCUGAGGCGUGAUGGGGAAGGUCAUAUAGACCGAAGUACAUGAUUCCAUGCUUCCAAGAAAAGCAUCUAGAGAGAGAAGUAGUGCCCGUACCGCAAACCGACACAGGUAGAUGAGGAGAGAAUCCUAAGGCCGGCGGAAGAAUUGCAGUUAAGGAACUAGGCAAAUUGACCCCGUAAGUUCGCGAGAAGGGGUGCCUGCGAGAGCAGGCCGCAGAGAAUAGGCCCAAGCAACUGUUUAGCAAAAACACAGGUCUCUGCUAAAGCGCAAGCUGAUGUAUAGGGGCUGACGCCUGCCCGGUGCUGGAAGGUUAAGGGGAACACUUAGCGCAAGCGAAGGUGUGAACUUAAGCCCCAGUAAACGGCGGCCGUAACUAUAACGGUCCUAAGGUAGCGAAAUUCCUUGUCAGGUAAG